AGCAACCCACAGGCAAUGGCUCAAGACUGAGCAGCUGGCCAAAGGGGGCCAGUGAGAGAGUCCUAUCCAGGACUUUUCCCUCGGCAGACACUUUAUACUUGGGUUGCUUGCUACAUUGUUAGGGAAGAUCUUCCUGAAUUGAGAGAGUACUAGAAGCGAAGAGGAGAGGUGGGUAAUCAAGAUCUGAUGCAGCACCUCCUUAGACCUUGGUGUAACUAACCGGGUAGACUUCUCAAGUAUUUAAUAGUGUCUCUAAACUCGAAGAGCCCUGAGAAAACCAAAAGAGUGGCUCCUGAGAUGUUAAAGAGAAACAGGUGUUAACUCCAGAGGAAAGGAGAUUUUAAAAAACAAAAACAAACAAACAAAACAAAAACCCCUUAGGCAGAGAGAGUGAAAGCACUGAGCUCGAAAGGCCCCAUGUUUCUUAUAGACAGCUAGAUGUCAGCAUAACCUUGACACCUCAGCGGAGCACUGGUUAGGGACCGCAUGAAAAUUCCAUUAUUCUCGAGGCUUCAAAGAAUCUGUAACUUCUGGGAAACAAACAAACACAACCGACCUUUUGUUCAUCGUGAAUGACCCUUAAGCCAAUAUUUGCUCAGUCUGGCUCCAGGAUUUGCUUCUGCUCAGCACUUAGACUGAUCAAUUUUCAGAAAUUGUAUGCCUUCUAAAACUUAGAAGUGGAAAGAAGAUAAAAAGUGAAACAACCAGGAUGCUACAUCCUUGCCCACUGAUGGUAACAUGAAAGGGUCAUAUUCUCACCUUUAUGGUUCCCUUCAGGCUAAAGAAAGUACCUCAGGCCCAAGCUCAUGUGCCAUUCCAAAGUCAAUCAACGGUUUCCAGCCAGAGUCUUGAACCCUUGCCUGCCCAGAUGCAGCAGUGAGGUCCUGACUGACUUCCUUGGACCUUCACACUGGCUUUUCACUGAAAUGGCAGCUGUUUGUUGAAAUAUCAUAAAGCAAGUUCAAGAAAUGACUUUAUCUUCCCCAGUAUACUUCAGUGUAUUUCAGUUUCAAUAUGACCUUUCCAUUUAUGUACGUGGCAAUAUGCACCUCUGCCCUUGAAAUUCAUUUUUAAAUUAAAGUUAUAAAAUUUGAAUUACA
Mesocricetus auratus (golden hamster) is the source of this 1100-nucleotide long non-coding RNA. RefSeq lists it as uncharacterized. Lineage: Eukaryota; Metazoa; Chordata; Mammalia; Rodentia; Cricetidae. The record is from RefSeq and is a predicted model, not a curated record. The transcript has 5 exons.